CUACGUGCCAGCAGCCGCGGUAAUACGGAAGGUCCAGGCGUUAUCCGGAUUUAUUGGGUUUAAAGGGAGCGUAGGCUGUUGGUUAAGCGUGUUGUGAAAUGUAGAUGCUCAACAUCUGAAUUGCAGCGCGAACUGUCCGACUUGAGUGCGCGGAAAGCAGGCGGAAUUCGUUGUGUAGCGGUGAAAUGCUUAGAUAUGACGAAGAACUCCGAUUGCGAAGGCAGCUUGCUGUAGCGUAACUGACGCUGAAGCUCGAAAGUGCGGGUAUCGAACAGGAUUAGAUACCCUGGUAGUCCGCACGGUAAACGAUGGAUGCUCGCUGUGUGCUUAUUUUUAGUAUGCGGCUAAGGGAAACCAUUAAGCAUCCCACCUGGGGAGUACGCCGGCAACGGUGAAACUCAAAGGAAUUGACGGGGGCCCGCACAAGCGGAGGAACAUGUGGUUUAAUUCGAUGAUACGCGAGGAACCUUACCCGGGCUUGAA
RNAcentral lists this ribosomal RNA (483 nucleotides) under uncultured bacterium. RNAcentral's name for it is "bacterial SSU rRNA". It matches the Rfam family "Bacterial small subunit ribosomal RNA", at positions 501 to 985 of the family's 1533-position model. The record is from RNAcentral.